This 431-nucleotide ribosomal RNA is filed under the name uncultured bacterium. RNAcentral describes it as "bacterial SSU rRNA". It matches the Rfam family "Bacterial small subunit ribosomal RNA", at positions 108 to 536 of the family's 1533-position model. The record is from RNAcentral.
GAGUAACACGUACAUAACUUGCCCUCAAGGCGGGGGAUAGCCUUGGAAACUGAGAGUAAUACCCCAUAGAAUUAUUGGACGGCAUCGUUUGAUAAUUAAAACUACGGUGUUUGGGGAUAGAUGUGCGUCUGAUUAGCUAGUUGGUGAGGUAACUGCUCACCAAGGCGACGAUCAGUAGGGGGCGUGAGAGCGUGGCCCCCCACACGGGUACUGAGACACGGACCCGACUCCUACGGGGAGGCAGCAGUAAGGAAUAUUGGUCAAUGGAGGGAACUCUGAACCAGCCAUGCCGCGUGAAGGAUGACGGCCCUCUGGGUUGUAAACUUCUUUUGGAUGGGGCGAAAAAACGGGAUUUAUCCUGGACUGACGGUACCAUCAGAAUAAGCACCGGCUAACUCCGUGCCAGCAGCCGCGGUAAUACGGAGGGUGCA